GCUCCUGGCCGCCCGUCCGCGGGCCAAGCCAGGAGGACACCCAAAACGCGGACUACGCGCGUAGAGGCCUGCCGUAGGGACUUUCGGACGGGGGUUCGACUCCCCCCACCUCCACCA
This 117-nucleotide transfer-messenger RNA is filed under the name Thermus scotoductus. Its description in RNAcentral is "partial transfer-messenger RNA". It matches the Rfam family "transfer-messenger RNA", at positions 236 to 374 of the family's 374-position model. Rfam says of the family: Bacterial tmRNA, also known as 10Sa RNA or SsrA, is named for its dual tRNA and mRNA-like properties. Its role is to liberate the mRNA from a stalled ribosome. The record is from RNAcentral. Lineage: Bacteria; Thermotogati; Deinococcota; Deinococci; Thermales; Thermaceae.